GGAAAACACAGGUGCAGAGAAGAAAAGUAUGUGCAAAAAAUGGUGUUCACUCGCAUGUGAUUCAUGGAGUCGCCGCUGUCCGCCGGCAUCCUGCCUCAAACGUUGUCGGUGGAGCUAGGCUUUACGCAUCUAGCCACACGCGCGAGGCCAGGAGGCGGAGGAACUAGCCAUGACGCCGAGUGGCUUGGAGGUCUCACACACGGUUUAUGUCCCUCGCCAGAUGGUUACUCGAAGAAGUUACAUCACCAUGCAAAAAACACGUACACUUCUUCUCACUUUUGUGGGCGUUGGAUAAAUCUGAGGAUGCAUCGACACCACGGUUUGACCAAACGCCUUCAAAAUAUCAUUACUAAGAAAGACACUACCAGUAGCGUUGGUGUUUUGCAUACCGGUAGCGUGGGUUCCCGCGCUACUACUAAGGCGCUACAGCUAAAUUUUAGCAGUAGCGCGUUUUUUACCCCGCACUACAGCUAAAAAGUUAGUAGUAGUGUGGUGCCACCCACGCUACCACUAUUCCCGUGUCUUGUCUUUGCUAAACUGAACUCACCUUGCUCUAGUGUCUAGUGUGAAAGAAGUAGAAGAAAGAGUUGGCAAAAAUGAGGAAAGGCCUCGAUGAUGAUCGAUGACACAUCUCUGCAUGAGUGAAAGUUGUACCAUAUGAAACCGAGAGGGCGUGGAAGCUUUCGCGCUUGUUUCCAGACAAAGCGAAACACUACUGGAUUAUCAGAUCGAUUUUGUCCGGGCGCCAAUCGCUAAUUUACAUACGUCUGCUAUGGAAGAAAAGAUUUAGCAAAAGAUGGAUAAAGCGACGACGCAUAUCCAUCAAUCUCUACCAAAAGAUGAGAAGGUGUUGAAGAUCGUGUUGUUUCGGGUUCAAUUGUAAGCAAAUUAACGUACGAAAUCCCAACAACUCUGUUGGUCCCAUACAAAAUACGGGCAUGCUUUGAGUAUCGAGUUAAUACCACAAUUGAUACAUAAACUUAUAGGGGUGGGAACAGUAUCAUACAAAAACUAUAAAACCCCACAAAACUGCUCCUCCAACUUGUCUGCUGUAACAAAAUCAUACAAAGAGCUGUGGAGGCGACAUUUGGCAUUGCCACGUUGGCUGUGGUAAUUUUGCAGAAAGGCCAUCAGUUUAUUUUUUGUACACCGCGCUCCUCUCUCCCCUCCUACCCGUUCCCCGUUUGCCAAUCCCUAGCCCCGAGCUCCUCUCUGUCCACUCGGCCGCCGCUCCUCUCUGUCCACUCGGCCACCGCCCCUCUCUGUCCACUCCGCCGCCGCUCCGGCCACGGCGCCGCCGUCCUCUUGCUUCCACCGCCGGCUCAUGCGACAUGAAGGGGUCUCCAUCUUCAGGAUGGAGGGAGCAGGUAGGACGCCGUGGGUCAGGGGCAGC
This is an RNA transcript of Triticum aestivum (bread wheat), 1393 nucleotides long. RefSeq lists it as uncharacterized. The record is from RefSeq and is a predicted model, not a curated record. NCBI's taxonomy places the organism in Eukaryota, Viridiplantae, Streptophyta, Magnoliopsida, Poales, Poaceae. The transcript has 3 exons.